Non-coding RNA from Aspergillus uvarum CBS 121591, 107 nucleotides. The record is from the annotation of a RefSeq genome assembly. NCBI's taxonomy places the organism in Eukaryota, Fungi, Ascomycota, Eurotiomycetes, Eurotiales, Aspergillaceae.
GGCAAGGUGGCCGAGUGGUCUAAGGCGCUAGUUUUAGGAAUUCCCUUCUUGAGGAGGUGGAAAACCACUAGUUCGAAAGAGCAUGGGUUCGAAUCCCAUCCUUGUCA